Molecule: ribosomal RNA, 1361 nt
Filed under: Psychrobacter glaciei
Lineage: Bacteria; Pseudomonadati; Pseudomonadota; Gammaproteobacteria; Moraxellales; Moraxellaceae
Description: bacterial SSU rRNA
Rfam family: Bacterial small subunit ribosomal RNA
Source: RNAcentral
GCUCAGAUUGAACGCUGGCGGCAGGCUUAACACAUGCAAGUCGAGCGGAAACGAUGAUAGCUUGCUAUCAGGCGUCGAGCGGCGGACGGGUGAGUAAUACUUAGGAAUCUACCUAGUAGUGGGGGAUAGCACGGGGAAACUCGUAUUAAUACCGCAUACGACCUACGGGAGAAAGGGGGCAGUUUACUGCUCUCGCUAUUAGAUGAGCCUAAGUCGGAUUAGCUAGAUGGUGGGGUAAAGGCCUACCAUGGCGACGAUCUGUAGCUGGUCUGAGAGGAUGAUCAGCCACACCGGGACUGAGACACGGCCCGGACUCCUACGGGAGGCAGCAGUGGGGAAUAUUGGACAAUGGGGGAAACCCUGAUCCAGCCAUGCCGCGUGUGUGAAGAAGGCCUUUUGGUUGUAAAGCACUUUAAGCAGUGAAGAAGACUCCGUGGUUAAUACCCACGGACGAUGACAUUAGCUGCAGAAUAAGCACCGGCUAACUCUGUGCCAGCAGCCGCGGUAAUACAGAGGGUGCAAGCGUUAAUCGGAAUUACUGGGCGUAAAGGGAGCGUAGGUGGCUCGAUAAGUCAGAUGUGAAAUCCCCGGGCUCAACCUGGGAACUGCAUCUGAUACUGUUGAGCUAGAGUAUGUGAGAGGAAGGUAGAAUUCCAGGUGUAGCGGUGAAAUGCGUAGAGAUCUGGAGGAAUACCGAUGGCGAAGGCAGCCUUCUGGCAUAAUACUGACACUGAGGCUCGAAAGCGUGGGUAGCAAACAGGAUUAGAUACCCUGGUAGUCCACGCCGUAAACGAUGUCUACUAGUCGUUGGGUCCCUUGAGGACUUAGUGACGCAGCUAACGCAAUAAGUAGACCGCCUGGGGAGUACGGCCGCAAGGUUAAAACUCAAAUGAAUUGACGGGGGCCCGCACAAGCGGUGGAGCAUGUGGUUUAAUUCGAUGCAACGCGAAGAACCUUACCUGGUCUUGACAUAUCUAGAAUCCUGCAGAGAUGCGGGAGUGCCUUCGGGAAUUAGAAUACAGGUGCUGCAUGGCUGUCGUCAGCUCGUGUCGUGAGAUGUUGGGUUAAGUCCCGCAACGAGCGCAACCCUUGUCCUUAGUUACCAGCGGGUUAAGCCGGGAACUCUAAGGAUACUGCCAGUGACAAACUGGAGGAAGGCGGGGACGACGUCAAGUCAUCAUGGCCCUUACGACCAGGGCUACACACGUGCUACAAUGGUAGGUACAGAGGGCAGCUACACAGCGAUGUGAUGCGAAUCUCAAAAAGCCUAUCGUAGUCCAGAUUGGAGUCUGCAACUCGACUCCAUGAAGUAGGAAUCGCUAGUAAUCGCGGAUCAGAAUGCCGCGGUGAAUACGUUCCCG